Molecule: long non-coding RNA, 1964 nt
Organism: Arachis duranensis
Lineage: Eukaryota; Viridiplantae; Streptophyta; Magnoliopsida; Fabales; Fabaceae
Exons: 9
Source: RefSeq, a predicted model, not a curated record
CCACUCACACGUCACACCCAUUAUAAAACACCUCUCUUCUUCAUCUUCUACUUCAAUUUAUAUAGUCCAACCCCAAAAAUCUCCUUAGCAAAAUACAAAUCCCUUGGGAGUUUAGGAUGAUUUGCAACGUCCAUGCUUCUAAGUCUUCUUCUUUGGUACAUGAAGGAUACAACAAUGCCUCCUUCAACCCUUGAAUUUCCCAAAAUUCAACUCUAAUUCUGCCAUGAAGAACACCACCACCAAUGAUACCAACAAUUUCAACAUCACCUGGCACUCUCAAAAAGCUGACAACAAUGACCACCACUCCUUCAUGAGAAAAUUCAACAAAAAAGGACCCGAAUGAUUUUGAGCGAAAGAUGGUGGUGGGCGGCAUGAACGACUUCUGAGCGAGGGAAAGUGGUGGGCGGCACGGCGCAGCAGCAUGAUUUUGGACUGUGGUACCUGGAAUGAUGUGCUCCAUCUUACCUAGAAAGCUCUACUCAACAGAAGAGAACAGAAAUUUUCUUAGAUACCAACUCAAGAAGUACAUAAGAUGUUUUACUCCUAGUGGUGACAUCCUCUUCGAGUACCAUGGGGUUCUUAAACAAGGACGAUUCUCAUAGCCAAGAUUGGAAUUUUGGUUCCCUUUGUUGCGGUGGACUAGACACUUUACUACAAGAAUAAACCUCAAUUGGUCAUUCAGCUGUCCCUAGCCGAUCGCACUGGCCGGCCCUGCCCUGGCCCUAGUUGAUUGGACAAGCUGACUUCGUCCAAUCCAGCCCACUGCGUUUAUUGGUAGUGAUGAAAAAUUGUGUGGUAUGGCUAUGGAGUUCACAUUACCGGCUUUUUGCACUAUCUUUGGUGCUGGGCUUAUUAACUUCUCAAAGACACACUGAUUUUUCGCUUUCCAAGUGUUCUAACACAAGGCCGCAAUGAAGAGGAUCUUUUGUCUAUCAUCGAUUUGAGCCGCUGCCUAAGAUAAGCCUCGUUGCUACCAAUUGGGAAAGGUCUCCUCUUCUCUCUGCCAUAAGUAAGGGGUUAUUAAGUUUAGUCUCCAUAUUAUUGAAGACAGAGGCCAUUGGACCAGAGCAUGAGAAAUUGAUUCAUCUUUUAGCAUGCAUCUGGAGCAAGGGGUAGAUGCAAAACAGCUAUGGAUUUGUUACAACACAGAAAGUUUUUCAUGAAGACUUCCACAAAAAAAUCUUAAUUUUAUGAGGUUCGGUUGGAUUGUAAUUGCAACUUGAGGGACAUUAAAGAGAAAUGAUGGUAGGAGCCAGGGAUCUUGGAAGAUGCGGACAUUAGCAUCAGAACCUAUUUUCCAUAACAAGCAUUUUUCAAUCACCUUGCACCUUUCAAGAACAGGUCUCCAGUCCCACGACGUAGCACUUAUAUGGUGAGCCAUUAUUACUGUCAGCUUGUGUUACAAUAGAGCUCGGUGGAUCCUCAGGACUUGGUUUAUUCACCUAAGAGUCCAAAUAAAAUUCAGUGUUAACACUAAAACAAGAUAACAAGAUGGAAACAAGAUGUGAAUGAAUCACUUAUACAAUUAAGAAGACAAAGAUGAAAGUACCGGUGUGACUUGCUCAAUGCCAAUGGCACCAUUACUGCAAUGAUCAUUGCUUCCAGCACAAUUACUGGAAAAAUACAACAUUCAUUUAGAUAUAAUACUAUCAUCAUUUCUCAAAAUAGAACAGCAUAUUUUAAUAUACUAUACUUAGCAAGAAUUGUAAUAAUGAAUAUUAACAUAUAUCAAAUCCACAAGACCCCAUCAAAAUUUAAGCCUAGUGAGGAACUUCAAUUGAAUGAAUGCAACUAAAAUUCCAAAUUUCCAAUAAUAUAGAGGGUAUAGUGUUAUGCCGAAUGCAACUUCUUUGAUCUCCUUCCAACUUGUUCUCCACAGAGUAUUUGAUGGAUCUAAUGCCAUUAUAAUCUCAUUUCAUGUUAGGAAUUAAUAAACAGAGAUGAUACAUACUUGUGGAUUUGUG